AGCGUGAGGUCGGAAGUUCAAGUCUUCCCAGGCCCACCAUUUUGAUCGAGUGCGGAGCAUUCGUCUUCUGGUACGGGGCCAUAGCUCAGCUGGGAGAGCGCGUGCUUUGCAAGCAUGAGGUCGUCGGUUCGAUCCCGUCUGGCUCCACCAGAUGGAAUUGAAGCUCGAUAGCGCCUCGUUCAUUUCGUCCGCGAAACAUCACUUCGCACUCAUUGGUCCGGAUGGACGGUGACGUGCGUGUUUUCUGACAUCGUAAAGAGGAGAUCGAUCCGAGUUUGGAUCAAGCGAAGCAAUUCGCCUGAGCCAUUCAUUAUCUCCGGGAUCAUUUCGGCGCUCGCUUCAAUCGUGAGAUUGGAUGCGGGUUGUAAAUGAUCCCUUUUAGCGAAGCUUGACCGCCUCGCUAUCGGGCCGAUCUUACGAAGCAAGCUGGUCUUUCUAGUCGAUGUCCGGCUGCGCAAUCGCAUUCAUCGAGGAUGCGUGCCUGAGACUUCGGUCUUCGGGCAGUUGUGCAGACAACAUUCUGCCGAGUGUGUGGACAUUGAUAAUGAGAGC
Molecule: transfer RNA, 552 nt
Filed under: Bradyrhizobium sp. AG31d
Lineage: Bacteria; Pseudomonadati; Pseudomonadota; Alphaproteobacteria; Hyphomicrobiales; Nitrobacteraceae
Description: partial 16S-23S ribosomal RNA intergenic spacer
Rfam family: tRNA (bases 75-147)
Source: RNAcentral